This 490-nucleotide ribosomal RNA is filed under the name uncultured bacterium. RNAcentral's name for it is "partial 16S ribosomal RNA". It matches the Rfam family "Bacterial small subunit ribosomal RNA", at positions 30 to 507 of the family's 1533-position model. The record is from RNAcentral.
AUUGAGCGCUGGCGGCAGGCCUAACACAUGCAAGUCGAACGGUAACAGGAAACAGCUUGCUGUUUCGCUGACGAGUGGCGGACGGGUGAGUAAUGUCUGGGAAACUGCCUGAUGGAGGGGGAUAACUACUGGAAACGGUAGCUAAUACCGCAUAACGUCGCAAGACCAAAGAGGGGGACCUUCGGGCCUCUUGCCAUCGGAUGUGCCCAGAUGGGAUUAGCUAGUAGGUGGGGUAACGGCUCACCUAGGCGACGAUCCCUAGCUGGUCUGAGAGGAUGACCAGCCACACUGGAACUGAGACACGGUCCAGACUCCUACGGGAGGCAGCAGUGGGGAAUAUUGCACAAUGGGCGCAAGCCUGAUGCAGCCACGCCGCGUGUAUGAAGAAGGCCUUCGGGUUGUAAAGUACUUUCAGCGGGGAUGAAGGGAGUAAAGUUAAUACCUUUGCUCAUUGACGUUACCCGCAGAAGAAGCACCGGCUAACUCCGUG